Molecule: non-coding RNA, 521 nt
Organism: Hydra vulgaris (swiftwater hydra)
Lineage: Eukaryota; Metazoa; Cnidaria; Hydrozoa; Anthoathecata; Hydridae
Source: RefSeq, a predicted model, not a curated record
ACUAUUUUAUUAACUAUUUUAAAUAUGAUUUAAAAAUAAUCAUUUAGAAGCUUGUAAAAAGAUCAUCAAGGAUGCUAACGUGCAAAAAAUAGAGGAAGAGAUUAGGGAUGUAUUAAAGCAUGCUCCUAAUCGGCCAGGAGGAGUUAACUAUGAGGCGAAAAUUGUUACAAACACUCCAAGUAAAGAUGUAUUGUUGCAACAAGCCGAAGAAAGUUCCGAUUCUGAAAAUAUCUUACGCAAACCUAAACGAACGUUGUGGCAACGUUCAUUGAACGUUAAUUGUUAGCUGGGAUAGUAACCUUUGCAGCGAAUAUUAAAUCAACAUUCGUUGUUUGUUGUUUGAACAUCGAAGCGAACGUUUAAGAUCCGUAAAUCGGAGUUAACAAAAGGUAAUUCGAAGUACAAUUUUCAACGUACGUUAUUCAAACCUAAACGAACGUUAUGGUAACGUUCUUAAAAUAUUAAUUGUUAGCUGGGUAGACUCUUUAUUUAAUGCAUAAGAUUAUUAAUGAUAAUUCAGA